RNAcentral lists this ribosomal RNA (484 nucleotides) under uncultured bacterium. RNAcentral describes it as "partial 16S ribosomal RNA". It matches the Rfam family "Bacterial small subunit ribosomal RNA", at positions 30 to 507 of the family's 1533-position model. The record is from RNAcentral.
AUUGAACGCUGGCGGCAGGCCUAACACAUGCAAGUCGAGCGGAUGAAGGGAGCUUGCUCCUGGAUUCAGCGGCGGACGGGUGAGUAAUGCCUAGGAAUCUGCCUGGUAGUGGGGGAUAACGUCCGGAAACGGGCGCUAAUACCGCAUACGUCCUGAGGGAGAAGGUGGGGGAUCUUCGGACCUCACGCUAUCAGAUGAGCCUAGGUCGGAUUAGCUAGUUGGUGGGGUAAAGGCCUACCAAGGCGACGAUCCGUAACUGGUCCGAGAGGAUGAUCAGUCACACUGGAACUGAGACACGGUCCAGACUCCUACGGGAGGCAGCAGUGGGGAAUAUUGGACAAUGGGCGAAAGCCUGAUCCAGCCAUGCCGCGUGUGUGAAGAAGGUCUUCGGAUUGUAAAGCACUUUAAGUUGGGAGGAAGGGCAGUAAGUUAAUACCUUGCUGUUUUGACGUUACCAACAGAAUAAGCACCGGCUAACUUCGUG